Molecule: ribosomal RNA, 476 nt
Filed under: uncultured bacterium
Lineage: Bacteria
Description: bacterial SSU rRNA
Rfam family: Bacterial small subunit ribosomal RNA
Source: RNAcentral
AGAAGGUCUUCGGAUUGUAAACUCCUGUUGUUGAGGAAGAUAAUGACGGUACUCAACAAGGAAGUGACGGCUAACUACGUGCCAGCAGCCGCGGUAAAACGUAGGUCACAAGCGUUGUCCGGAAUUACUGGGUGUAAAGGGAGCGCAGGCGGGAAAACAAGUUGGAAGUGAAAUCCAUGGGCUCAACCCAUGAACUGCUUUCAAAACUGUUUUUCUUGAGUAGUGCAGAGGUAGGCGGAAUUCCCGGUGUAGCGGUGGAAUGCGUAGAUAUCGGGAGGAACACCAGUGGCGAAGGCGGCCUACUGGGCACCAACUGACGCUGAGGCUCGAAAGUGUGGGUAGCAAACAGGAUUAGAUACCCUGGUAGUCCACACCGUAAACGAUGAUUACUAGGUGUUGGAGGAUUGACCCCUUCAGUGCCGCAGUUAACACAAUAAGUAAUCCACCUGGGGAGUACGACCGCAAGGUUGAAACUC